Molecule: ribosomal RNA, 908 nt
Filed under: uncultured bacterium
Lineage: Bacteria
Description: bacterial SSU rRNA
Rfam family: Bacterial small subunit ribosomal RNA
Source: RNAcentral
ACGCUGGCGGCAUGCUUUACACAUGCAAGUCGGACGGCAGCACAGAGAAGCUUGCUUCUUGGGUGGCGAGUGGCGAACGGGUGAGUAACAUAUCGGAACGUACCGAGUAAUGGGGGAUAACUAAUCGAAAGAUUAGCUAAUACCGCAUAUUCUCUGAGGAGGAAAGCAGGGGACCUUCGGGCCUUGCGUUAUUCGAGCGGCCGAUAUCUGAUUAGCUAGUUGGUGGGGUAAAGGCCUACCAAGGCGACGAUCAGUAGCGGGUCUGAGAGGAUGAUCCGCCACACUGGGACUGAGACACGGCCCAGACUCCUACGGGAGGCAGCAGUGGGGAAUUUUGGACAAUGGGCGCAAGCCUGAUCCAGCCAUGCCGCGUGUCUGAAGAAGGCCUUCGGGUUGUAAAGGACUUUUGUCAGGGAAGAAAAGGCUGUUGCUAAUACCGACAGUUGAUGACGGUACCUGAAGAAUAAGCACCGGCUAACUACGUGCCAGCAGCCGCGGUAAUACGUAGGGUGCGAGCGUUAAUCGGAAUUACUGGGCGUAAAGCGAGCGCAGACGGUUACUUAAGCAGGAUGUGAAAUCCCCGGGCUCAACCUGGGAACUGCGUUCUGAACUGGGUGACUAGAGUGUGUCAGAGGGAGGUAGAGUUCCACGUGUAGCAGUGAAAUGCGUAGAGAUGUGGAGGAAUACCGAUGGCGAAGGCAGCCUCCUGGGAUAACACUGACGUUCAUGCUCGAAAGCGUGGGUAGCAAACAGGAUUAGAUACCCUGGUAGUCCACGCCCUAAACGAUGUCAAUUAGCUGUUGGGCAACUUGAUUGCUUAGUAGCGUAGCUAACGCGUGAAAUUGACCGCCUGGGGAGUACGGUCGCAAGAUUAAAACUCAAAGGAAUUGACGGGGACCCGCACAAGC